CAUCCCACACCAUCAUCAUAUUCAUCAUCACCACCACGAAUUCGUAUUUACGAGAGGAGGAUGAACACACACUUGCUUUUGGGAUUCACCAACCAAAGCCAAACUGAAAACGAACAAUGCGACCCAGCGAACCUUAUGAUGAAUUGCGACCCCAAGUUUAUUACGUUACAGGUUUCGUAUCGUAUCGUCGUCACCCAAGAAAUCGCUGUUCGGUUGAAGAAUCGCAUCCAAAAAAAAUUAUGUACGGUGUGGUGUGGCGACAUCAUCGAUAUGACGCCAUAACAGAUUUAUGUAUGUAUUUAUUUACCAAGAUAUAUUUAUUCACGAAAAAAACGGCUUAAUUUCAUUAUCCUUACUCUUUUUUUGACUUAGAAUGUAUAAAAUUAUUCAACGGUUCCGGUUGAAGGCACUCUGUUUGUAACUAAAAAUACAAAAGAAGUUCUACACACCACGUAAUUCUAGUAAUUAGGAUUAUAUCAAUAAUAUAAUGAAAAAUUAAACGAAACACGAAA
Long non-coding RNA from Folsomia candida, 512 nucleotides. RefSeq lists it as uncharacterized. Lineage: Eukaryota; Metazoa; Arthropoda; Collembola; Entomobryomorpha; Isotomidae. The record is from RefSeq and is a predicted model, not a curated record. The transcript is spliced from 2 exons.